RNAcentral lists this ribosomal RNA (229 nucleotides) under uncultured bacterium. RNAcentral's name for it is "partial 16S ribosomal RNA". It matches the Rfam family "Bacterial small subunit ribosomal RNA", at positions 568 to 796 of the family's 1533-position model. The record is from RNAcentral.
UGCGCAGGCGGCCUGAUAAGUCAGGGGUGAAAUAUGACGGCUCAACCGUCAAACUGCCCCUGAAACUGCCAGGCUUGAGUCCGGGAGAGGUAGGUGGAAUUCCAGGUGUAGUGGUGAAAUGCGUAAAUAUCUGGAGGAACACCGGUGGCGAAGGCGGCCUACUGGCCCGGAACUGACGCUCAGGCACGAAAGCUAGGGGAGCGAACAGGAUUAGAUACCCUGGUAGUCC